UCCCUGGUGGCUCAGACAGUAAAGAAUCGGCCUGCAAUGCAGGAGACCCAGGUUCAAUCCCUGGGUAGGGAA
Molecule: transfer RNA, 72 nt
Filed under: Bos taurus (domestic cattle)
Lineage: Eukaryota; Metazoa; Chordata; Mammalia; Artiodactyla; Bovidae
Also listed under: 2 other names
Rfam family: tRNA
About the family: Transfer RNA (tRNA) molecules are approximately 80 nucleotides in length. Their secondary structure includes four short double-helical elements and three loops (D, anti-codon, and T loops).
Source: Rfam by way of RNAcentral